ACUAAGUUUCAAGAACGGAUCUCUUGGCUCUCGCAUCGAUGAAGAACGCAGCGAAAUGCGAUAAGUAAUGUGAAUUGCAGAAUUCAGUGAAUCAUCGAAUCUUUGAACGCACCUUGCGCUCCUUGGUAUUCCUUGGAGCAUGCCUGUUUGAGUAUCAUGAAAU
Molecule: ribosomal RNA, 163 nt
Filed under: Ceratobasidium sp. AG-A
Lineage: Eukaryota; Fungi; Basidiomycota; Agaricomycetes; Cantharellales; Ceratobasidiaceae
Description: 5.8S ribosomal RNA
Rfam family: 5.8S ribosomal RNA
About the family: 5.8S ribosomal RNA (5.8S rRNA) is a component of the large subunit of the eukaryotic ribosome. It is transcribed by RNA polymerase I as part of the 45S precursor that also contains 18S and 28S rRNA. Functionally, it is thought that 5.8S rRNA may be involved in ribosome translocation.
Source: RNAcentral